RNAcentral lists this transfer RNA (71 nucleotides) under Trichechus manatus latirostris (Florida manatee). RNAcentral's name for it is "tRNA-Val (CAC) (tRNA-Val-CAC-9-1)". It matches the Rfam family "tRNA". From Rfam's summary of the family: Transfer RNA (tRNA) molecules are approximately 80 nucleotides in length. Their secondary structure includes four short double-helical elements and three loops (D, anti-codon, and T loops). Lineage: Eukaryota; Metazoa; Chordata; Mammalia; Sirenia; Trichechidae. The record is from Rfam by way of RNAcentral.
GCAUUGGUGGUUCAGUGGCAGAAUUCUUACCUCACAUGUGGGAGACCUAGCUUCAAUUCCUAGCCAAUGCA